UGCAGCCUUGUCAAAUUUGGUGUUUCCUCCUCAGUGGACGGCACUGGCCAAAAUGGCUGCAACAGUGAAUUUGUAGUCCAUGGGCCCCAUGUUCCUGUAUAUAGUGGGUACUGGGGAUAGAAGGGCUAUGUACAAAU
This 137-nucleotide small nucleolar RNA is filed under the name Sinocyclocheilus grahami. RNAcentral describes it as "Small nucleolar RNA SNORA5 (ENSSGRG00000028734.1)". It matches the Rfam family "Small nucleolar RNA SNORA5". From Rfam's summary of the family: ACA5 is a member of the H/ACA class of snoRNA that guide the sites of modification of uridines to pseudouridines. The record is from Rfam by way of RNAcentral. Lineage: Eukaryota; Metazoa; Chordata; Actinopteri; Cypriniformes; Cyprinidae.